This is a long non-coding RNA of Gallus gallus (chicken), 2300 nucleotides long. NCBI's taxonomy places the organism in Eukaryota, Metazoa, Chordata, Aves, Galliformes, Phasianidae. The record is from Ensembl.
CAACAACAACAACAACAACAAAACCCUGAACAAUUUUGACAAAUCUGCAUAAUAACUGUUUAUACUGGAGAUUUAUUUUGAUGGCUAAUUGCUGUAUUUGAAAUAUCUGUAAUUGUUAUGAGGUUUCCAAAUACGUGAUGAACAACAUGCAAAUGGCUGCAGUUUCCAACUACAGAAAUUUAUGUAGGAGUGAAGUAUUUCUUACAAGAGUCAGUCAGCUGUAGAGAUUGAUGAGCUAAACUACUAUGGUAAAAAUAAAUACAGCUAGGUAGGAAUUACAGCUGGUAUUGUUCUGUAAUGUGGAGUUAACAAAUCGGCAGUUGAAUGAAAGGAAUCUAAAUGCUAGAUAGUCUUUUUGUUACCUUCUUACUUUGGCUGCGUGUAUUUGCAGAGAGUUUUUGUAGCUUUAUUUAACACCCACAGAAGACAAUGUCAGACUUUCCAUUCUCUUUAAAGAUUUUUUCACAGGUUAGGAAAAUAUGAAUAUAAACCUUCCUGAUGGUGAAAGAGGAGAAAGAUGUGUGCAGAACCUCCCCGUUCUAAGCUGAAGACUAGAUGGGUGCUUAAGGCUUCAGUUCCCCGGCACAGGGCUCGCUGCUCAUUACAACAGCCCUGACUAGAAGCUCACGGGGCGAGGAGGACGACGAUGCCUCAUUCCCAGUGAAGGGGAAGGGGUGCAGAGCCCGUGCUGCCUCUGGAGUAUUUGAAGACCCUCAGUAGGGAUUAGAGCUCCACCGUACAACAGAACAUCAACAUCUGGAAAAUCACAGUAAAGCAUACAGAAUGAUAUUCCUGAAAGCUGAAAUAAAUAGCAAUUCAGCAAGACCUUUAAUAUGAUCUAUGCUGCUUGAGAUCACUGUACUAUUGGCAAAGCCUGUGUGGAGGAAUACCAGUUCUGCCCAGAACUACGGAGCAUGUUCAGUCCACAAUUACAUGUGUCUAUAACAGAUAGCUUUCUGAAAGGAACAACUAAGGGAAAAAAAAAUACCUCUCCAUAUGGACAAACUAUAGAAAUGACUGUCAGUAAGGUAACAAGUGAACAUACAUUAAUUGAGAGUGCCCAAAUAAUAUUCUCCAAAAGCUACUGACGCAGGACAAAGAAGAGAAAAGUUCCUGUCUGUAUGGAAAGCACAAGGGGAAUAGACAAAAAAAUAGUUCACAGAGAAUAACAAAGAAAACAUGAAGAUAAAGUGGGCAAGACAUCAAAAUCUGUGAAGAAUAUUUACAAGUAUAACACAUAGAUAACAAUAUGCAAAAGCAAACCUGUGAGAAAACCUAUGGAGAAUACUGUAAUGAAAAAUGCCCUAUCUCUAGGUUAAUUAUAGCCUGAAAAACAUUAUGUCAGAGGAUGCAGACAAGAAAAAAGAAGGCAAGCAAUUCAUCACACUGGGGACAGAAGCAAUUAGUUGAAGAAUGAGACUUUGCAUAAAUGUAACUAGCUGAAAAAAAAAAAAAAAAAAAGAUUUGUCAAGUUUGAUGUAACACUAGCUAUAAAGACAAGUUGGCAGAAGAAAAACAAGUAAUUGAAGGCCAAAUAGAGAGUCAUGUACGGGCAACUUCACUAGCCUGAAACACUAGCUUUUUUAAUAAAAAAAAUGUAAUUUUACUGAGGAUGUACUACUAUCCAUACGUAGCCAAGCAAGAAAAAUACACAGCCUGAAAUUUCAAGCGUACCAGAAAACAAAGGGGCCAUCACUUUCAAGUAAAACUGCUGCAGUAUUUAUGUGAAGGUCUGUGACACCCUCUAGCCAUAUUAUACCUAAGGAAGGAUACAAUGCUUCAACAAACACAGCAUCUUCCUUUAAGUGUUCAGAGGGUUUCUGGGAAAAAAAAAAAAAAAAAAGACCAAAGCCCAAACCAAAUAAAACCAAAGACAACAACAAAAUAGAAACCAGCAAGCAAUGAAACAAAAUGGAAAAGAAAACUUCAAGUCAGGCACCCCACGUUGAAUGAACAGCAUGACAGUCUACAAGAAAGCUCUAUUUUCUAAAAUCUCAGCAAUUUAUAUAUUAGGUUCCCACUGAGUAAUUACAAUAUGAAAUAUUAGUUCAUUAUAAUAUGUUCAGCAGGUGAAUGUAUUUAUGUAGUCAAUUCUUAUUGCCAAAGGUAAAUAUUGGGUAAUAAUACUCCAUAAAACAAGUAAUUAAUUGAUACUUGACAGGAGCUUUGGAAAUUUUCUAUAUACAAAUGCUGAGAAUACAAUUUGCACUCUAUUAAGAUAACUGAUCUCAAAGUGUGUCAGAAGCCUCACAAAUAGACUGUAAAUCAAUGUACAACAGAUGUUUCAAAAAUAAAAUGUG